This is a long non-coding RNA of Gallus gallus (chicken), 2329 nucleotides long. The record is from Ensembl. Lineage: Eukaryota; Metazoa; Chordata; Aves; Galliformes; Phasianidae.
CAGACAGUGGAAGCAAGGAUGUGUCAUCUGGAAAAAAUACAGGGAUGCUGCCUGGAUUUGCAGGGAUGGUAUUAGGAAAGCAAAGACACAGAUGGAGCUGAGCUUGGCAAGGGAUGUAAACAUUAACAAGAAGGGACUGUACAGGUACACUGGUGAGAAGAGACAGGCCAAAGUGAGCACAUCUCCUCUGAUAAAUGAGAAAGGAGAAAUGGCUACAACAAAGAUGGAGAAUGCUGAAGUACUCAACAAGUUCUUUGCCUCAGACUUUACUGGAAGUCAGGCUUCUUGUGUCAGUUUCUUGAACUAAACGUUUCUAAACCUCUAGGUGAUGGCUGGGUGAGUAAAAUCCCUCCCACUGCAAAAGAAGAGCAAGUCAGAGUGCUUCAUGAGACUGAAUGUGUGCAAGCCAAUGGGGCCCAAUGACAGGCAUCCCAGCAUCUUGAAGGCAGUGGCUUAUGUAGUUACCAAGCUGCUCUCCAUAUUUGAUCCCAAUCCCAGAUAUGUCUACAGUCUGGAAGAUAAACAACUUGAGAGCAACCCUGCAGAGAACUACAAAGUGCCUUAAUUAUAUCAAGACAGAAAUGAAUAGUCCAUGAUUUAGCAACUGCAGUACAACUAGGAGAAAUGAUGCAUUGAAGGUAGAUGGGACUUGAGCUAGUAGGUGACGACAGAAAAUUUGCACUGGAGGACCAAGAUACCAUACUUUUCCAGCCUAGAAAUGGACCAUUACAGAAGGGAAUGCAGAUGAACAUGGCUGAACUCAGUGCUGCAGUUUACAGAAGUAUCUGCUCACAGCACAGAAUGACACAUGGCUUGUCCUACAUCACAGACAACACUAAGCAGUGUAUGGGAACAGUAGACAAGGAAAAGAAUUGUAGAAUCAUUGAAUCGCCAAAGCUGAAAAAGAUCUCCAAGACCAUCCAGUCCAACUUUCCACCUACCACCAGUAUUUCCCACUAAACCAUGUCCAUCAAUACAACAUCCAAAUGUUUCUUGAACACUUCCAGGGACAGUGAUCUAACCACCUCCUUGGGCAGCCCAUUUCAGUGCCUAACCACUCCUUUGGAGAAUAAAUUUUUCCUAUUAUCCAACCUGAACCUCCCUUGGCACAAAAGAACAAAUAACAAGUGGUUUGGUUUUUCUGUCACAGGUUGUUGGUGUGGUUAAUAUUCUCUGCUUCAGUACUCUGCGUUUACAACUCUUUUGCAAUGAGGUCACACUGACAAGCCACAAACACUGCUUGUUCCUUUUAAGAAAUAGUGAUUGCUAGACGCAAAUGAAUUCAGGGAUGGCUGAGAGGUGAUCUUGCAAGACUUCAAAAUAUCAAAGUGUGUCAUUCUGAUAUGCCUGAUAAAAGUGUUAUUUAAAUAUCCAUGGAAACCAACCUUCACAUUCAACUCAGGGGCUUUGGUCAUAAAUAAAAUACUGGACUGUGAAGGGAUUUCAAAGAUAUACCUUGUCUUUUUGAUCUCUGCAGUUAAUUCUUUCUCUCAACUUGGUCCUUAGAAAGGCGAUUGAAAGUGCAGCUAAGCUAAACGUUCCGUGGGAGUGCUCUGAUCUGUUUACUGCUUUGAUGUUCUCUGUAGGCUACUGCUUCCUGUGAACCAGGAUUCCAUGGCAAAAUAUAUGUGAUUCUCCAUCUCUUUUUUUAAAAGAUUUAAUAUGCAUUUCUCUCUGCUUGUAUCUAUAUUUGCACAUGACGGGUGAGAAGCAGACACAUGGUCCUCUAUUUCCAGAGAGGUGUUCAAAAAAAGACACCAAAAUCUGUCAGAUAUCUUCAAAGCAAGUUUGGAAUUCUGUGUUACCUUUAUCAGGAUCCUCCCCAAUUUUUUAGUUGUAUAAACAGUAUUUAAGCCUUGAUGACCAUUUAACUAAAUUAAGCAAACAAACAAACAAACAAACACAGAAUUGUUGGUAUUACAUUUGAAUUGAAGGACACAAACAAUGCAUAUUCUUUCUUUGCUGAUUUUGAACCAGAAUAUUUGAACCAGAUUUUGAACCAGAUUAUUUUCCUGCCAGUGGAUAAAAGUUACAGUAUUACUUAGAACAGCCUUUUUAACAUCAUCAUUAUAAAAAUGUUACCUUUAUAACUUGUUUAUCAAUUGACUAUUUUGUAAAACUGCAGUUGGCUUAUCUGAUUGGUAAUGCUAAAAUAUCCUUCCAAUGUUUUAAAUUUUCACCAAAAAUAUCUCGGGAUGGUACGAUUCUAUGUAGUUAUGCAGUGUUUUGAGAAAAUCUUUCUUAUUUGGAUGUUACUGCUUAGCUUCAUAAUUAUACGAAACCUCAUAUCAGUGUUUUCAAAGUAUUUGUCCCUUUUUUUUUUUUUUUU